Molecule: long non-coding RNA, 1040 nt
Organism: Pseudopipra pipra
Lineage: Eukaryota; Metazoa; Chordata; Aves; Passeriformes; Pipridae
Exons: 2
Source: RefSeq, a predicted model, not a curated record
CGGGGGUGCCCAGGGCGACAGCCACAGGGGGACUGUGGGUUCUGUCCCCCAGAUGCAGUGCUGGUGGGUGGGACUGCCUUAAUGUUGGGCUGAGCCCACCAUCCAAUAAGCAAGUUAUGCACAAAAACGCAAAUGAUGCUCACAGAGGGCCAGGAAUCAUAGAAUGAUCAUGGAAUCAUGGAAUGGUUUGGAUUGGAAGGGCCACACGUGUCAGAACUCUGGGGAUUAUUAUGUCUCAGCCUCAGCACCACCAGUACUGCCAGGCCCACAAGUGGGCACAGGGAGGGAGGAUGAGCCUUCCUGCUGCCCCUGAGGCCCUGUGCUGGGGCCUGGUCACCUUAUGGUAAAGGAACCACAAGCCCUGGAAGCCUGGGCAAUACCACCCCACGCAGACCUGGCAUCACAUGCAAGAUCCUGUUUGUUCUCCAAGAGAAGGAAACCACAAGGACACGGCCUCUGUUGCAUCCCUUUCCCUUGCAGGUCACCACAACCUGCUCUAAAAGGGACUGUGCUGACAGAGGGUGAAGGACAGCCCCUGGUACCCUCCACACUGACUCACUGGCUCUGGUCCCACACUGAUGUACAGAGCAGCAGCAAGGGGAAAACUGGCAGAGAAGCCAGGUUUUGGACAAGACAACAAAUCCUGGGAUUUCUGAGCAGAAACCUACAGAUAGACCACGUGGUGCUGCUGUAAGGGAAGCAAAAGGCCUGAUUGUAGAGCAAGGGAGAUGUGCAGGAAGGUGAGUGGCAAGCAAGGAGUGCUCCUCACCCAGCUUUGGGCCUUCUAAUAAACCCAUGGUGAGCAAGUGAGAGGACCAGACUUUGCCAAGUGCAAGCACAGUAGCUGGAACAGAUCCACCUGGCAUUUCUGCCUGCAUAUCCAACAAAAUAUGCUCAUAUAGGCACCAGAGUCUUGCAUAACUGAAGACAGGAUGCAAAAACUUGGGUGGAAACCCAAGUCCUUUGCCUAGUGCUGAUAAGGGCUGUCACUUCUCCUCCCACCUGUCUGCUCAGUAAAUCCAGCCACUGCUUGGAAACCA